UAGGGAAUCUUCCGCAAUGUACGAAAGUCUGACGGAGCAACGCCGCGUGAGUGAAGAAGGAUUUCGGUUCGUAAAACUCUGUUGUUAGGGAAGAAAAAAUGUAUAGUAACUAUAUACAAAAGAGACGGUACCUAACCAGAAAGCCACGGCUAACUACGUGCCAGCAGCCGCGGUAAUACGUAGGGGGCUAGCGUUAUCCGGAUUUACUGGGCGUAAAGGGUGCGUAGGUGGUCCUUCAAGUCGGUGGUUAAAGGCUACGGCUCAACCGUAGUAAGCCGCCGAAACUGGAGGACUUGAGUGCAGGAGAGGAAAGUGGAAUUCCCAGUGUAGCGGUGAAAUGCGUAGAUAUUGGGAGGAACACCAGUAGCGAAGGCGGCUUUCUGGACUGCAACUGACACUGAGGCACGAAAGCGUGGGUAGCAAACAGG
Molecule: ribosomal RNA, 428 nt
Filed under: Verrucomicrobiota bacterium
Lineage: Bacteria; Pseudomonadati; Verrucomicrobiota
Description: Verrucomicrobia bacterium partial 16S ribosomal RNA
Rfam family: Bacterial small subunit ribosomal RNA
Source: RNAcentral